RNAcentral lists this long non-coding RNA (677 nucleotides) under Homo sapiens (human). Its description in RNAcentral is "long non-coding RNA NONHSAT151079.1". The record is from RNAcentral. Lineage: Eukaryota; Metazoa; Chordata; Mammalia; Primates; Hominidae.
AAAAAAAAAAAAAAAUCACCAUCAUCCUCAGGGAGCCCCCUCGCCCUCGGAAAACAAAACCAGACAUGAUCCUGGGCUCCUGCUUCUGAAAGAUCUGCCCGACCGAGGAGGAGGGAGCCUAGGUUCAAGUCGCAGGAAAGGUCACGGCAGGGAAGCCCCCUCAGCCCCUCCGCGUCGCCUCCCCGCGGGCCGCCCCUCUCGGCCCUGCGCCCCGCGGCCCCGCAGCCUCCGCGCGGCCUCCCGCCCCAUCCCCGCCACUUUCCCCGGAGCUGGGCCGCGAACACCUCACUAUUGAUGGUGUAGCGCUUUAGGGGAAGCAUUUUUGAAACGUUGGGGUUGUUGGAGUGGUUGGAUUUUCCCUGGAAUUGAGUGAGAAAUUCAGAAGACUGAAGCCCAGGCUUACUGUCUACCUUUCACGGAGGCCUAGCCGUGAGAGGACAGAAGAAGGCACGUGGCGAAUCAUGACAGCGGACAAAGACAAAGACAAAGACAAAGAGAAGGACCGGGACCGAGACCGGGACCGAGAGAGAGAGAAAAGAGACAAAGCAAGAGAGAGUGAGAAUUCAAGGCCACGCCGGAGCUGUACCUUGGAAGGAGGAGCCAAAAAUUAUGCUGAGAGUGAUCACAGUGAAGACGAGGACAAUGACAACAAUAGUGCCACCGCAGAGGAGUCCACG